Molecule: non-coding RNA, 480 nt
Organism: Sinocyclocheilus grahami
Lineage: Eukaryota; Metazoa; Chordata; Actinopteri; Cypriniformes; Cyprinidae
Source: the annotation of a RefSeq genome assembly
AUGUUGAUGAAGAUUGUUGUGUGUGUCAAAGGUCAUCUAAUAGAGAAUGACCAUCUAAAUCUUACUAAAGAUUUCAUUAUAAAGCAGAAUGAAGCACUGUGGUGGACUUUUGGUGCAGGAACUGAACUGACCAUCAGAACUGGUCCCGCAGUGAAGCCCUCCGUGUCUCUGCUGCCUCCCUCUUCUCUGCAGAUCUCUGGAGACUCAGCCGCACUGCUCUGCCUGCUCAGCUCUUACUCUCCACAGGGGGCGCAGGUGAGCUGGACGCUGGACGGGUCAGAGGUCACCGAGGGGGUUCAGACCAGCGCAGAGAGCGAGCGGGACGGACGCUACAGCCGCAGCAGCGUCCUGAGCCUCAGCAAAGCACGCUGGGAAGACGGCGAGCGCUUCGUCUGCAGAGUAACACAUGACGGAGCUGAUCACGAGACCUCGUUCCUCAAGAGCUCCACAAACAAGAAAUUAUGGGUGCAGGACUACUGA